UAUAGGUGUGUGUGUGUGUGUACAUAUACAUAUGUAUAUAUAUAUGCAUAUAUACUAC
Molecule: microRNA precursor, 58 nt
Filed under: Echinops telfairi (small Madagascar hedgehog)
Lineage: Eukaryota; Metazoa; Chordata; Mammalia; Afrosoricida; Tenrecidae
Description: miRNA (ENSETEG00000023645.1)
Source: RNAcentral